CCCCAUGCCCUUCCUCCCCACCACCGACUCGCUUUACUCCCAGCCCAAAUAACUUGGCUCAGGUCCCCAGACACCUGCCCACAGGCUCCCAACGAUUGUCUUAGCUGGGGAAGCCCUGGGCAUCCUUCAAAACCCAGUUUGGAUGACACCUCUGCUGAGAGGACUUCCUGUCGCCCCAGGGACAGAAUCCAUCACUUCCUCAUCUUAUCUGGCUCUUACCUGAGGCUCACACAAGACGACGACCUGACCGACCUGACCGAGAGAGUCCUACGAGACUGGACGCUCCCCAGAGGCAGGAACCAGAGCAUCUACUUCACUUCUGAAGGUGCCAGGAGGGAAAGGGACACUUUGCUUUCCAUAAAAGCUACUGCCCGGCUGUGUGCCUAGGGAUACUUCUCCCCGGGGGGGGGGGGGCAUCUUUUUUCUAAUGUGCAUAAAGGCCUGAGUGGACCAGGCCUGGCCCCAGGGGUGAGCUAGUCGGGCGGGUGGGGACACGGAGGUUGGCAUGCCGCUUCUCAGCGUGUGACCUUGGACGGGCCACUUCACCUCUCUGGACCUCGGUUUCCUCAUCUGUAACCUGGAGCUGCCAACUACCGAAGCAGUUGGGAAGCAGAUGGGACAAAAUGAGACCAAGCCGGCGAAGGGCCGAGAAGCCGCGCUCCAGAAAUCGGCCGUGCUCGCUGCUGCCACCCGGCGGAGGGAGGCGGGAGAACCGGCGAGCGGGCGGCCCGGGCCGUCAGGAGGAGGGAAGCGCCGAGGCUCCGAGGCCAGCACGACCCAGGAACGUGACGCGUGGCGCACAGGAGGUGCUCAUACAGCGACUGUCCCUUCGGCCCAAGACCGACACGCAUGGCCAGGGGGGACUCAGGCUGAGGCCCAGGAAGACCCACGCAUCUCCCAGGCCUCCUGGGUAUGGCGAGGUCCCAGGGAUGGUGUGGGACCCAAGAGCUCCCCAUCAGGACCUGGUGUAGCCCCACUCUGGCCCCAAGUGUUGAGCCAAAACUUAUCCGUUGCCUCCAUCCCAAUCACAGCAUUUCCCCACCCUAGACACCGCCCCCCCCCCCCCCCCCCCCCCCGCGGCCCAAACCCAUCUUGGAGUUUCUGCCUUGGCCCCAGAAUGUACAUAGGCAAAGGUAGCUGGAAACUAAUUGCAAAAUUUAUUCUAGGGCUGCAGGGGCUGGGAGAUUCUUAA
RNAcentral lists this long non-coding RNA (1192 nucleotides) under Canis lupus dingo (dingo). RNAcentral's name for it is "lncRNA (ENSCAFG00020015576.1)". The record is from RNAcentral. Lineage: Eukaryota; Metazoa; Chordata; Mammalia; Carnivora; Canidae.